Molecule: ribosomal RNA, 218 nt
Filed under: uncultured soil bacterium
Lineage: Bacteria
Description: partial 16S ribosomal RNA
Rfam family: Bacterial small subunit ribosomal RNA
Source: RNAcentral
AGAUUGAACGCUGGCGGCAGGCCUAACACAUGCAAGUCGAGCGGUAGAGAGGUGCUUGCACCUCUUGAGAGCGGCGGACGGGUGAGUAAUGCCUAGGAAUCUGCCUAGUGGUGGGGGAUAACGUUCGGAAACGGACGCUAAUACCGCAUACGUCCUACGGGAGAAAGCGGGGGACCUUCGGGCCUCGCGCCAUUAGAUGAGCCUAGGUCGAUUAGCUA